GUGGGUAUAGCUCAGUGAUAGAGCACAUGCUUAGCAUGCAUGAGGUCCUGGGUUCAAUCCACAGUACCUCCA
Molecule: transfer RNA, 72 nt
Filed under: Camelus dromedarius (Arabian camel)
Lineage: Eukaryota; Metazoa; Chordata; Mammalia; Artiodactyla; Camelidae
Also listed under: 1 other name
Rfam family: tRNA
About the family: Transfer RNA (tRNA) molecules are approximately 80 nucleotides in length.
Source: Rfam by way of RNAcentral